Molecule: long non-coding RNA, 1071 nt
Organism: Clupea harengus (Atlantic herring)
Lineage: Eukaryota; Metazoa; Chordata; Actinopteri; Clupeiformes; Clupeidae
Source: Ensembl
AGAUGACGUUACGUCAGUAUAAUACCUGCGUGUUGGACUUUUAGUUUAGAUUUGAGCUCAGAGAUGUUGGAAGCGACAUAGUUUUUUGACCGUGUGAACUUGUAACUCGUAAGUUUUCUAGUAAACAUUUUUUAUGGAAGAUUUACUUGUCUCACUCGCGUGUCAAUUAAUAGUUUCUAAGACUGAACUCAAAAUUGUGGUACAGAAGACUCAGAACAGACGGAGUGCCACUACACUGGGAAUGAGCAUUAACAGUGGAGACUUACCAUACUGUUUCUGUUGCUGUGCUUUAACAGGUGUGAUACGGUUUUUACUUAUCUUUCUUAAUGUAUAUAUUACAUGCCUGUUCUUAUUUUGGCCUGUUUGAGAUAUGCUGGGAAUGAGCAUUAACAGUGGAGACUUACCAUACUGUUUCUGUUGGUGUGCUUUAACAGGAGUGAUACGAAAUAAAUAUCCAUCUCAGCAACUGUUGUACGAGUCACAUAUAUUAAUACACAACGCAGAAGUUACACCGGUUACAUAGACAUGCCGGAUAGAUUUGGCUAGUUUUCAUAAUAUGUCCCCUUUAAAUAACAUAAUAAUGGAAUUAAAUAUACACCAUGAAUCAACAUUGUUUUCUAAAUCUAUUUGUUAUGAAGGACAGGUUGUAAGAAUAUGUUAUUCAAAGACGUCUGAGGAUUUAAAUGUACUUUAUUGUUCAGAAUAAAGGUAGGCCUACAGUCACCUUCAGACUGACAGUGUUACCAUUGGAUGUUGUUCUUCUUUGUUCCUCAAGCCAGGACAAUAUGGCUUCAAAGUUUAAAUGGAGAACAUUGUUUAGUUUAGUAUAGUUUAAGUGUGACUAGAUUUAUGUGAGAAUCGAUGUGACCCAAAUUUGGAUAAAAAUGUCCAUCCGUUAUUGUCUACUAUUGUACCUUUAUCAACUUUGAGGACGAUCGAUUUGUCGUGUGAGAUUGAUAUGCAAGAUCUAACCUCCCAUCGAUUAAUAUUUGUGUGCAAUUAGUUGGGAAAGACACUAGAGGGCGGACAAAAUCUGCCUUUGUGUCUCCCCGAAGAAGACGGAAGGGCAUU